RNAcentral lists this ribosomal RNA (173 nucleotides) under uncultured bacterium. RNAcentral's name for it is "partial 16S ribosomal RNA". It matches the Rfam family "Bacterial small subunit ribosomal RNA", at positions 1322 to 1500 of the family's 1533-position model. The record is from RNAcentral.
GAAGCUGGAUUCGCUAGUAAUCGCGCAUCAGCCACGGCGCGGUGAAUACGUUCCCGGGGCCUUGUACACACCGCCCGUCCAAGCCAUGGGAGCCGGGGGUACCUGAAGUGCGUGACCGCAAGGAGCGCCCUAAGGUAAAACCGGUGACUGGGGCUAAGUCGUAACAAGGUAGC